RNAcentral lists this ribosomal RNA (717 nucleotides) under Hemilepidotus jordani (yellow Irish lord). RNAcentral describes it as "partial 12S ribosomal RNA". It matches the Rfam family "Bacterial small subunit ribosomal RNA", at positions 327 to 1345 of the family's 1533-position model. Lineage: Eukaryota; Metazoa; Chordata; Actinopteri; Perciformes; Cottidae. The record is from RNAcentral.
UGCCCUACAGUUCCCCGCCCCGGGAACAAGGAGCUGGUAUCAGGCACACCCCAUUGAGCCCACGACGCCUUGCUUAGCCACACCCUCAAGGGAACUCAGCAGUGAUAAACAUUAAGCCAUAAGUGAAAACUUGACUUAGUCAAGGCUAAGAGGGCCGGUAAAACUCGUGCCAGCCACCGCGGUUAUACGAGAGGCCCAAGUUGAUGACCACCGGCGUAAAGCGUGGUUAAGUUAAAACUCACACUAAAGUCAAACAUCUUCAAGACUGUUAUACGUACCCGAAGACAGGAAGUUCAACCACGAAAGUGACUUUAUAUGAUCUGACCCCACGAAAGCUAAGGAACAAACUGGGAUUAGAUACCCCACUAUGCCUAGCCCUAAACAUUGAUAGUACUACACACCCACUAUCCGCCCGGGAACUACGAGCAAUAGCUUAAAACCCAAAGGACUUGGCGGUGCUUUAGAUCCACCUAGAGGAGCCUGUUCUAGAACCGAUACCCCCCGUUCAACCUCACCCUUCCUUGUUUAUCCCGCCUAUAUACCGCCGUCGUCAGCUUACCCUCUGAGGGUCUAAUAGUAAGCAAAACUGGCACAGCCUAAAACGUCAGGUCGAGGUGUAGCGUAUGGAGGGGGAAGAAAUGGGCUACAUUCGCUACAACAGCGAACACGAAAGAUGUGCUGAAACAUCCAUCUGAAGGAGGAUUUAGCAGUAAGCAG